This is a long non-coding RNA of Alligator mississippiensis (American alligator), 727 nucleotides long. RefSeq lists it as uncharacterized. NCBI's taxonomy places the organism in Eukaryota, Metazoa, Chordata, Crocodylia, Alligatoridae. The transcript is spliced from 3 exons. The record is from RefSeq and is a predicted model, not a curated record.
CAUUCAGCAAAUUGCAAGAGAAAUUCAGCCCCUCCCAAAAUCUGACAGUAACUAAAAAUGGGUAAAGAAAUAAGAGCCUAAUCUAGUCCCGCUAAUCUUGUAGUUUCAAUAAAAGUUCUACAUGUGAAGUGCUGGCAGGGUCCAGUGUUUGUUAGCAGGGAUGAAAGUCAUUUCACACUCCAGUAACAGUUUGAUUUUUAUAAGUCUGUCUAUCCUGAGGUAGCUUGUAUAACUUUAUCCCAGCUGCAUAGUUGGUCCAAUAAAAGAUAUCGCUCUAAGAAAUCCUAUCCUGCAAAAGGCAGCAAUGUUAUGGAACGGAUGGACCAGAAAACAAGAAUGGUAUUUGUAUCCGUCUAAAAGUGGUCCUUGUUAUGGAGACUGAAUACCUCAAAAGGUACUGGGAGAUGAGAAUUUCCAGUUCGAGAACCAAUCCUGUAUUUCUUGUUCCAGUAAAACUGCCAUUGCCCAAGUAAUCACUUGCACCUUCAGCCUCUAUGCAGACUGAUCCAGAAGAUACUGUAAUGCCAUCAGCACCAGGAUGCUUUGCUAGGAGUCCAGAGGCUGUUCUAGUCCUGUCACAUCCUUCACCUGCUGAAGUAACUCAAGAAAGCCAAGCCAGCCUGCUGCCCUCCAAUCCCUGAAUCAGGUUGUGUGAGGCGAGUCGUUGUCCAGCUGAAGUACUUAAAGGACUAUAUUAUUGGGUGGAAAGAGAGGAAGCAGUGGGAUG